AACCAGUAAGUUAAGUUAUAUAUCUUGGUAAAAAGACAGUUAGACAGAAAUUAGCCUAUCGAUUGCUUCUAUAAAAGUAAAAUUUAAUAUAGGUACAAUAGAAUGAUAAUGGCUUUAUUGUUGAAUCUGUGAUAUCUUUGAGGGAAACUGGGAUUGGAUACCCCAUUAUUCUUAGGUGUAAAUAAAGAAAUUUACCAGAGUACUACAAAUAAAAUAAUUUAAAACUCAAAGAGCUUGGCGGUAUUUUAGACCACUUAGGGGAACCUGUCUCGUAAUCGACAAUCCGCGUUAAACCUUACCUUUUUUAGUGAUCAGCUUGUAUACCGUUGUCAUCAGGUAACUUUUAAAGAAAAAAGAAGUUAGCUAAAAAAUUUUUUGAUUAAGAUGUCAAAUCAAGGUGCAGCUUAUAAAAAGGAGAAGAUGGGUUACAAUUAUAAAUUAUAAUACGAAUAUGCAUACUGCAAAGAGCUUGAAGGAGGACUUAAAAGUAAAUCUAUAUAUGUAAAUAGAUUGAACAAGGCUCUAAAAUGUGC
Molecule: ribosomal RNA, 533 nt
Filed under: Teretiopsis cf. hyalina MNHN 17845
Lineage: Eukaryota; Metazoa; Mollusca; Gastropoda; Neogastropoda; Raphitomidae
Description: partial 12S ribosomal RNA
Source: RNAcentral